Molecule: long non-coding RNA, 1534 nt
Organism: Acanthochromis polyacanthus (spiny chromis)
Lineage: Eukaryota; Metazoa; Chordata; Actinopteri; Pomacentridae
Exons: 2
Source: RefSeq, a predicted model, not a curated record
GUGUUGUUUUAUGUCGUUUUGUGUCUCAUUUUGGUCACUUUUUUUGCAUCUUUGGCAUAUUUAGUCUCAUUGUGGUCAUUUUUGUGGUUUCAUGUCAUCUCCAGUCUUCUCCUCUCUCCUCUGCUCAUCAUCAGUAGAUGUUUCUCCAUGCUGAAUGGAUCUCCAACAACCACCUCCUCUGUUCUCUGUUUCUGAGCCAUGCUGACUUUAUUUUAUGGGUGAUGAGUGAGAACGUCGCCUUGUUUUUGGUGAACAUUCACAUGACGUGUGAUUUUGAUGAAACAUCUCGAGUUUUAAGCUCAGAAUUGGUUCAUUUUACAAACGGAACCUCACCGAUGAUGCGUUCAUGGACUGUGGGAAAGUUGGAGAGCCUUCUGUUUGGUUCAUUUUGGUGAUUCCUUUAAUCAGACUGUGUGUUUUAAACCGGACGGAGCUUCAGAUGGAUCUACUAAUGGACAGUUGAAGCAGUGAUUCAAAGAUGGCGGCUGCAGUAAAGCGUGGGACGCUGCUGUAAACAAACGGCGUCGUAAAUCAGCGUACAGUGGAAGGAGGGUUCAGGGAUCUCCGCCCAACAUCGCCUCAGCCUCAUUACGACACGCUUUCCUGGCGACCCGGUCAAUUUAUUCACGCUCAGGCCCGCCGAGUCCUGCCCCGGACAUCCGGCGCCGAGCAUGAUCACUGCUCAGCACCGAGACUUGGAGAUGAGCGGCGGGCCGGAGGUGAUGAAUAUGUUAAAACGGGAAGCCCCGAGGAUUUAUGUCCGACACGGAGCUGGGAAUGUAUGCAUGGAGGGCCGGUGUUUAUGCAGAACAACCCACCGCUGAUUAUUUAUGGACUACAGGAAGUCCCAACCUGCAGGACAAACAGUCCGGAAAGUAAAAAAUAAAAGAUCCAAGUCAUGUCCAGAGCAGGAAGUGGUUUCACCUGCCUACUGCCAUCACCCAUCAUAAAAGGUUUGGAUCAACGUCGGACUGUUCCUGUUCAGUAGGUCGACUCAGACCAGCCUUCCUCUGAUUCUGCUGUUUUGCUUGCUUUAAUGUCUCCUUUGCCACUUCCUGUCUGAACAGCUGGUUCAGAUGAUCUCCACCAUCACCUGUCGGGAUUCCUGAUGCUGUCAUCAUUCCCCAGAAACUGUCAUCGAAGUCCUAGUUCUGGUUUCAUGCUGUAGCUUUAAGCUUUUAACUCUAGUGUAAAUUGUGCUUCUUGGUUGUGUAGUUGCACCAGAGUAGUUUGUUCAUUCUGUCACUUUACUUACCGUUGCUUCCUGUGUUUAGCGUAGCUGCUAAUGAGUGCUUUGUGAUCAUGUUUUGUGCAUUAGCUUUAGUCUCCCUGCUAACUUUCAGAGCCCAGCGACGCUCGGUUCUGGUUAGUUUCCGUCUCCCUCUACUUAAGUCUGCAUAGUGUUUGUACUUCCCAGACUGAAUUAUUGUACUAUAAUUCUCAGUCAGUCCCAUAGUUAUCGCCAUUGUACCUUAUUUGCAGUCCUUACCCUUUAACUCUGAUUAUUCAUUGUGCAAUAAACUUUUAAACUCUA